GCAAUCGGGAUGAACUAAGGCAUGCGAGUCAUUGUAGCAAUACAAGGCAGACGGCUCAGUAACGCGUAGUCAAUCUACCCUAUGGACGGGAAUAACCUCGGGAAACUGAGAAUAAUGCCCGAUAGAACAUUAUACCUGGAACGGUUUAUGUUUCAAAUGAUUUAUCGCCGUAGGAUGGGACUGCGGCCUAUCAGUUUGUUGGUGAGGUAAUGGCCCACCAAGACUAUUACAGGUACGGGCUCUGAGAGGAGUAGCCCGGAGAUGGGUACUGAGACACGGACCCAGGCCCUAUGGGGCGCAGCAGGCGAGAAAACUUUGCAAUGUGCGAAAGCACGACAAGGUUAAUCCGAGUGGUUUCUGCUAAAGAAACCUUUUGCUAGUCCUAGAAACACUAGUGAAUAAGGGGUGGGCAAGUUCUGGUGUCAGCCGCCGCGGUAAAACCAGCACCUCAAGUGGUCAGGAUGAUUAUUGGGCCUAAAGCAUCCGUAGCUCGUUUUGUAAGUUUUCGGUUAAAUCCAUACGCUCAACGUAUGGGCUGCCGGGAAUACUGCAUAACUAGGAAGUGGGAGAGGUAGACGGUACUCGGUAGGAAGGGGUAAAAUCCUUUGAUCUAUUGAUGACCACCUGUGGCGAAGGCGGUCUACCAGAACACGUUCGACGGUGAGGGAUGAAAGCUGGGGGAGCAAACCGGAUUAGAUACCCGGGUAGUCCCAGCUGUAAACUAUGCAAACUCAGUGAUGCAUUGGCUUGUGGCCAAUGCAGUGCUGCAGGGAAGCCGUUAAGUUUGCCGCCUGGGAAGUACGUACGCAAGUAUGAAACUUAAAGGAAUUGGCGGGGGAGCACCACAAGGGGUGAAGCCUGCGGUUCAAUUGGAGUCAACGCCGGG
Molecule: ribosomal RNA, 886 nt
Filed under: uncultured archaeon
Lineage: Archaea
Description: bacterial SSU rRNA
Rfam family: Archaeal small subunit ribosomal RNA
Source: RNAcentral